Molecule: non-coding RNA, 95 nt
Organism: Capsicum annuum
Lineage: Eukaryota; Viridiplantae; Streptophyta; Magnoliopsida; Solanales; Solanaceae
Source: Rfam
AUUGGGAAAUGGUGACAAGUUAUUUUGAAUACACACUGAGAAAGUGGCAGGUUUUGCUGAUCAAUCUGUUUUUUGCACGUCAGUCUGAUCCCUAC